Molecule: ribosomal RNA, 460 nt
Filed under: uncultured bacterium
Lineage: Bacteria
Description: partial 16S ribosomal RNA
Rfam family: Bacterial small subunit ribosomal RNA
Source: RNAcentral
CCUACGGGUGGCAGCAGUGAGGAAUAUUGGUCAAUGGACGAGAGUCUGAACCAGCCAAGUAGCGUGAAGGAUGAAUGCCCUAUGGGUUGUAAACUUCUUUUAUAUGGGAAUAAAACGUUCCACGUGUGGGAUUUUGUAUGUACCAUAUGAAUAAGGAUCGGCUAACUCCGUGCCAGCAGCCGCGGUAAUACGGAGGAUCCGAGCGUUAUCCGGAUUUAUUGGGUUUAAAGGGAGCGUAGGUGGAUUGUUAAGUCAGUUGUGAAAGUUUGCGGCUCAACCGUAAAAUUGCAGUUGAAACUGGCAGUCUUGAGUACAGUAGAGGUGGGCGGAAUUCGUGGUGUAGCGGUGAAAUGCUUAGAUAUCACGAAGAACUCCGAUUGCGAAGGCAGUUCACUGGACUGCAACUGACACUGAGGCUCGAAAGUGUGGGUAUCAAACAGGAUUAGAUACCCCUGUAGUC